GUGUCAGCAGCCGCGGUAAUACCGGCAGCCCAAGUGAUGGCCGAUCUUAUUGGGCCUAAAGCGUCCGUAGCUGGCCACGCAAGUCCAUCGGGAAAUCCACCUGCCCAACAGGUGGGCGCCCGGUGGAAACUGUGUGGCUUGGGACCGGAAGGCGCGACGGGUACGUCCGGGGUAGGAGUGAAAUCCUGUAAUCCUGGACGGACCGCCGAUGGCGAAAGCACGUCGCGAGGACGGAUCCGACAGUGAGGGACGAAAGCCAGGGUCUCGAACCGGAUUAGAUACC
RNAcentral lists this ribosomal RNA (283 nucleotides) under uncultured prokaryote. Its description in RNAcentral is "partial 16S ribosomal RNA". It matches the Rfam family "Archaeal small subunit ribosomal RNA", at positions 455 to 737 of the family's 1478-position model. The record is from RNAcentral.